CCUACGGGGGGCUGCAGUGGGGAAUAUUGGACAAUGGGGGCAACCCUGAUCCAGCCAUGCCGCGUGUGUGAAGAAGGCCCUCGGGUUGUAAAGCACUUUCAGUGAGGAAGAACGCCUGGUGGUUAAUACCCAUCAGGAAAGACAUCACUCACAGAAGAAGCACCGGCUAACUCCGUGCCAGCAGCCGCGGUAAUACGGAGGGUGCGAGCGUUAAUCGGAAUUACUGGGCGUAAAGCGCGCGUAGGUGGCUUGAUAAGCCGGUUGUGAAAGCCCCGGGCUCAACCUGGGAACGGCAUCCGGAACUGUCAAGGUAGAGUGCAGGAGAGGAAGGUAGAAUUCCCGGUGUAGCGGUGAAAUGCGUAGAGAUCGGGAGGAAUACCAGUGGCGAAGGCGGCCUUCUGGACUGACACUGACACUGAGGUGCGAAAGCGUGGGUAGCAAACAGGAUUAGAUACCCCGGUAGUC
RNAcentral lists this ribosomal RNA (465 nucleotides) under Vreelandella stevensii. RNAcentral's name for it is "partial 16S ribosomal RNA". It matches the Rfam family "Bacterial small subunit ribosomal RNA", at positions 338 to 795 of the family's 1533-position model. Lineage: Bacteria; Pseudomonadati; Pseudomonadota; Gammaproteobacteria; Oceanospirillales; Halomonadaceae. The record is from RNAcentral.